This 1256-nucleotide ribosomal RNA is filed under the name uncultured bacterium. RNAcentral's name for it is "bacterial SSU rRNA". It matches the Rfam family "Bacterial small subunit ribosomal RNA", at positions 140 to 1399 of the family's 1533-position model. The record is from RNAcentral.
GGAUAAACAGUUGGAAACGACUGCUAAUACCGGAUAGGCAGAGAGGAGGCAUCUCCUCUCUGUUAAAGUUGGGAUACAACGCAAACAGAUGGAUCUGCGGUGCAUUAGCUAGUUGGUGAGGUAACGGCCCACCAAGGCGAUGAUGCAUAGCCGGCCUGAGAGGGCGAACGGCCACAUUGGGACUGAGACACGGCCCAAACUCCUACGGGAGGCAGCAGUAGGGAAUUUUCGGCAAUGGGGGAAACCCUGACCGAGCAAUGCCGCGUGAGUGAAGACGGCCUUCGGGUUGUAAAGCUCUGUUGUAAGGGAAGAACGGCAUAGAGAGGGAAUGCUCUGUGAGUGACGGUACCUUACCAGAAAGCCACGGCUAACUACGUGCCAGCAGCCGCGGUAAUACGUAGGUGGCAAGCGUUAUCCGGAAUUAUUGGGCGUAAAGGGUGCGUAGGCGGCGAGAUAAGUCUGGGGUAAAAGCCCGUGGCUCAACCACGGUAAGCCUUGGAAACUGUCUGGCUGGAGUGCAGGAGAGGACAAUGGAAUUCCAUGUGUAGCGGUAAAAUGCGUAGAUAUAUGGAGGAACACCAGUGGCGAAGGCGGUUGUCUGGCCUGUAACUGACGCUGAAGCACGAAAGCGUGGGGAACAAAUAGGAUUAGAUACCCUAGUAGUCCACGCCCCCAACAAUGAGAACUAAGUGUUGGGGAAACUCAGUGCUGCAGUUAACGCAAUAAGUUCUCCGCCUGGGGAGUAUGCACGCAAGUGUGAAACUCAAAGGAAUUGACGGGGGCCCGCACAAGCGGUGGAGUAUGUGGUUUAAUUCGACGCAACGCGAAGAACCUUACCAGGCCUUGACAUGGUAUCAAAGGCCCUAGAGAUAGGGAGAUAGUAAUGGUACACACAGGUGGUGCAUGGUUGUCGUCAGCUCGUGUCGUGAGAUGUUGGGUUAAGUCCCGCAACGAGCGCAACCCUUGUUUCUAGUUACCAACAGUAAGAUGGGGACUCUAGAGAGACUGCCGGUGACAAACCGGAGGAAGGUGGGGAUGACGUCAAAUCAUCAUGCCCCUUAUGGCCUGGGCUACACACGUACUACAAUGGCGUCUACAAAGAGCAGCGAGCAGGUGACUGUAAGCGAAUCUCAUAAAGGACGUCUCAGUUCGGAUUGAAGUCUGCAACUCGACUUCAUGAAGUCGGAAUCGCUAGUAAUCGCGGAUCAGCAUGCCGCGGUGAAUACGUUCUCGGGCCUUGCACACACAACCCGUCA